Molecule: long non-coding RNA, 212 nt
Filed under: Elaeis guineensis (African oil palm)
Lineage: Eukaryota; Viridiplantae; Streptophyta; Magnoliopsida; Arecales; Arecaceae
Description: long non-coding RNA (EGUI_LNC023248)
Source: RNAcentral
UGGUCAAUCCCAUCUUGACACACGCACCGACAAGUCAAGUACUUGACUACACCCAGCAGCCUUCCGUCACUGAAUUAGAAAUUCAAGUAGUCCAGUGCCUAAGUGCAGUGAGUUGCUUGUAAGUCACCAUGGCGGUCUCAGAUCGGAGGGAUAUUUAUACCCAUAUUCCAUCGGAGCAAAUCUUGACAGCAGAAAUAGCUCCGGAGUCGGUC